RNAcentral lists this ribosomal RNA (432 nucleotides) under uncultured bacterium. Its description in RNAcentral is "partial 16S ribosomal RNA". It matches the Rfam family "Bacterial small subunit ribosomal RNA", at positions 36 to 506 of the family's 1533-position model. The record is from RNAcentral.
CCCUCCCUCUGGCGGCAUGCCUAACACAUGCAAGUCGAACGAGACCUUCGUGUCUAGUGGCGCACGGGUGCGUAACGCGUGGGAACCUGCCCUUAGGUUCGGAAUAACUCCCCGAAAGGGGUGCUAAUACCGGAUAAUGUCUUCGGACCAAAGAUUUAUCGCCUUUGGAUGGGCCCGCGUUUGAUUAGCUAGUUGGUAGGGUAAAAGCCUACCAAGGCGACGAUCCAUAGCUGGUCUGAGAGGAUGAUCAGCCACACUGGGACUGAGACACGGCCCAGACUCCUACGGGAGGGAGCAGUGGGGAAUAAUGGACAAUGGGCGAAAGCCUGAUCCAGCAAUGCCGCGUGAGUGAUGAAGGCCUUAGGGUUGUAAAGCUCUUUUACCCGGGAUGAUAAUGACAGUACCGGGAGAAUAAGCUCCGGUUAACUCCGU